Molecule: ribosomal RNA, 467 nt
Filed under: uncultured bacterium
Lineage: Bacteria
Description: bacterial SSU rRNA
Rfam family: Bacterial small subunit ribosomal RNA
Source: RNAcentral
UGGGGAAUAUUGGACAAUGGGUGAGAGCCUGAUCCAGCCAUGCCGCGUGCAGGAAGAAGGCGUUAUGCGUUGUAAACUGCUUUUUGCCAGGGGAUAAAAAGACCGUGCGCGGUUAAUUGAAGGUACCUGGUGAAUAAGCCACGGCUAGCUACGUGCCAGCAGCCGCGGUAAUACGUAGGUGGCAAGCGUUGUCCGGAUUUAUUGGGUUUAAAGGGUGCGUAGGUGGCCCUGUAAGUCAGUGGUGAAAUAUCUCAGCUUAACUGAGAGGGUGCCAUUGAUACUGCGGGGCUUGAGUACAGAUGAGGUAGGCGGAAUUGACGGUGUAGCGGUGAAAUGCAUAGAUAUCGUCAAGAACACCGAUAGCGAAGGCAGCUUACCAAGCUGUAACUGACACUGAGGCACGAAAGUGUGGGGAUCAAACAGGAUUAGAUACCCACGUAGUCCCUGAGCGGGCUGGCAAGGCGCAU